Molecule: long non-coding RNA, 896 nt
Filed under: Oryza sativa (Asian cultivated rice)
Lineage: Eukaryota; Viridiplantae; Streptophyta; Magnoliopsida; Poales; Poaceae
Description: long non-coding RNA (OSAT_LNC000878)
Source: RNAcentral
AGAAUGUGGAUAGUGGUUCAGUCGCCUGGCACAUCAUGUGUUUGUACUCAUCAACCAGUUUAAGAGUGCACUUCUCCACAAUUGUAGUUGUGUGCAGGGGUGAAGGUUCUGCAGUUAAUCAGAAAUAAGUUCAUAGUACAGAUGUAUCACAUUAGCGUGUAACAAGCAUGCACUGAUGCACUGCAAUUAUAUCACGACAAGCAUCAACGCAAACAGUAUUCCAUAUAAGAAUAGGGACAUGUGGAUUCUAGGAACUAUAGCAAUUAUUCCUAAGGAAAAUAACUAAAUCCUCAGUGGUUUACCGGAAUUCGAUCAAAAUAUACCCUUCCGAGUGGUCUCUAGUAAAAGCUAAGUUGCGACCCUCUACAUGUAUAGGGCAAAUCGUAUCCUUUAACUGCUGCACUCCUACAGAAUGCGAAACCUAUGAUACUCUAGACCAAGCUAAACAACAUAUCAGAACAAUCUGUUAAAGCGAUCCAUUGACUUUGGUUUCUUGCAAGCAUAGGGCAUCGUGGGCUUAAUCAACUACUUGAAAAUUUCAGGCAAAGAGCAACCAAAUUAGGGCAACCCCCAAAUCCCCAAAUUGGCAUCGCAAUUCGCGCGGACCGGAUCGGGGAUCGCCGAUCGAUCAGGACAGUCAUGGCGGCGCUACCCAAUCCGAUCCGAUCCCCCCAAAAAAGGAGAUCAGAGGGCGGCGGCGGCGAGAGAGGGAGGUCGUACCGUUCUGGAGGUAGGGGCCGUACUCGGUGGCGGUGAGGUGCAUCUUGACGUCGUCGAGGUUCUCGCACUGGCAGAGGUUGUUGUAGUCGGCGGCGGUGAGGAGGCCCGACCGGUUCCCCCGCACGAUGGCCUCCAGGAAGCCGUCGUGGAUGUUGAACGAGAGCAUCUCCCACCCG